GAUGGACGCUGGCGGCGUGCCUAAUACAUGCAAGUCGAGCGAACAGACGAGGAGCUUGCUCCUCUGACGUUAGCGGCGGACGGGUGAGUAACACGUGGAUAACCUACCUAUAAGACUGGGAUAACUUCGGGAAACCGGAGCUAAUACCGGAUAAUAUAUUGAACCGCAUGGUUCAAUAGUGAAAGACGGUUUUGCUGUCACUUAUAGAUGGAUCCGCGCCGCAUUAGCUAGUUGGUAAGGUAACGGCUUACCAAGGCAACGAUGCGUAGCCGACCUGAGAGGGUGAUCGGCCACACUGGAACUGAGACACGGUCCAGACUCCUACGGGAGGCAGCAGUAGGGAAUCUUCCGCAAUGGGCGAAAGCUUGACGGAGCAACGCCGCGUGAGUGAUGAAGGUCUUCGGAUCGUAAAACUCUGUUAUUAGGGAAGAACAAAUGUGUAAGUAACUAUGCACGUCUUGACGGUACCUAAUCAGAAAGCCACGGCUGACUACGUG
Molecule: ribosomal RNA, 497 nt
Filed under: uncultured bacterium
Lineage: Bacteria
Description: partial 16S ribosomal RNA
Rfam family: Bacterial small subunit ribosomal RNA
Source: RNAcentral